RNAcentral lists this long non-coding RNA (1716 nucleotides) under Cairina moschata (Muscovy duck). RNAcentral describes it as "domestica (muscovy Duck (domestic type)) lncRNA (ENSCMMG00000013751.1)". The record is from RNAcentral. Lineage: Eukaryota; Metazoa; Chordata; Aves; Anseriformes; Anatidae.
AUGGCUGGAGAACACUGCAUGGAGUCUCCUGAAUCACCCUUCUUUGUUCCCUCUAAACCCUUUUACAUUCCUGAUGGCCUCAUCGUUAAGAGCCUAAUGUUAUCCUCAACCACCGGGCUUUCCGACCCCCAUGGCCACACUCCCACCUCUCCCCCUUCUUUAUUAAUAUCAACCCUCUUCCCAACACGAGCCCUGGAAAGCCGGGGCGCUGCGUCCCCUCCCUGCGCCCUGAUGGGCACCCGUGCCGUGCCCUCAGGGCUUGGCGGGCAGCACCCUGGGGGAUGCUCAUCCCCUGAUGUGCCGGGAGGGGCAGGCACGGCCAGGACUACGUUUCCCAGCGGCAAUUUCCAGGGGCUGCACAUGCUCCUUGCGGCUGCACGGCUGCUCCCAGCAGCUCCCGGUGCGGCUCCCGGUGCGGCUCCCGGUGCGGCUCCCGGUGCAGCCCCAUCGCGGGCGCACGGGGCUCCGUGGGGAGCGCACAUCCGACCCCCGGGGGCGAGCCCUGCCUGGCACCCACCCUCCUGCCCCCCACCCCAGCCACCCCAGCCACCCCGCAGCAUGCCCCGCGGGCGAGCCUGGACACCGGCGGAGGUCAGCAGCCUCCUGGCGCUGGUGGAAGGCUCCGGGGAGGCCGCCCUGCUGAUGGCCUCCACGUCGUGGCCCAACGAGGCGCUGUGGCAGGAGAUCUCCCGGGGGCUGGCGGCGGCCGGCUACGGCCGUAGCGUGGCCCAGUGCCGCUCCAAGUGGAAGGCACUGAAGCAGGCUUUCCACUCGGAGCGGGAGACGCGCCGCCGUGCCGGGCGGCACUCGUCACGCUUGCCCCCGCACUACCGCACCAUGAAGAGCAUCUGGAAGGCGGCCGGGCGGCCCGUUUUUGGGGAGAGGCGGCUGCCCGAGCUGGUCAAGCCGCCCCCCAGGAAGCGCAGGUCGCUGGCCGCACGCUCGCCGGCACCGCCAGCUGCUGCAGAGGCCCCCGCCGUGCUGCUGGCACCGCUGCUGCAGUGCCCAAAGGACAAGCCGGAGAGCUCCCGCGGGGACCACGUCGAUGGAGCAUCACCCGACCCCGCGGCCGCCCCACGCACCAGCUGCUGCAUCCCUCCCCAACCCCUCCCGGGCUGCCUGAAAGAGGAGAGCGCCGAGCAGAAGGCAGGUUUUCCUGGUGAGACAUCCCCGGGGAUGGGACGAGGCAACCCAGGCUCCGCGGGGAUGGCCGCAGCGAGCGAGCACGCGGCGGGCGAAGAGUCCUCGGACACCAGCCUGCAAGGUGGGUGCCCCCGACGCCCCGCGGGGCGCACGGUGAGGGGUGGGCUUCCCCCUGACCCCCGCUCUUCGCUGCAGGCGGCGGCGUGGCGGGCUUGCUGCAGAGCGUGCAGCAGCUGCUGGUGCAGAUCCUGCAGACGUCGCGGCAGCAGCAGGCGCUGCUGGAGAGCCUGGCCAGCGACACCGUCUCCCACCUCCACCUCCUCUCCCACAGCCUGGUGCAGGUGGGCGAGACCCUGCACCAGCUCCUGCUCCGGCCGCCAGCCCCCCACGCCCCCCACGCCCCCCUUUUCGAGGGCGACCCCCGGGUCCCGCUGCUCCCCGGGCUCCCCCCUUGCGGCAAGGAGGAGCCCCAGGUGCCCCCCGACGCCGGCUGCGCCCCGCCGUGAGCGCGCGCACCCCUUGCAGCAGAGCCCCCACUACCCACCCCCCCCAAGUUAUUUUAGACGUUUAUAG